AGCUGGAAUCGCUAGUAAUCGCGGAUCAGAAUGCCGCGGUGAAUACGUUCCCGGGUCUUGUACACACCGCCCGUCACACCAUGGGAGUCGGAAAUGCCCGAAGUCUGUGACCCAACCUUAGGGAGGGAGCAGCCGAAGGCAGGUCGGAUGACUGGGGGUGAAGUCGUAACAAGGUACC
This 178-nucleotide ribosomal RNA is filed under the name uncultured bacterium. RNAcentral describes it as "partial 16S ribosomal RNA". It matches the Rfam family "Bacterial small subunit ribosomal RNA", at positions 1324 to 1500 of the family's 1533-position model. The record is from RNAcentral.